AGUGAAAUGGCUGAUAAAGGUGAUAGAUUGUAAAUCUAUUUAUGAAUGGGAAUUCUUUUACUA
This 63-nucleotide transfer RNA is filed under the name Margattea spinosa. Its description in RNAcentral is "tRNA-Tyr". Lineage: Eukaryota; Metazoa; Arthropoda; Insecta; Blattodea; Pseudophyllodromiidae. The record is from RNAcentral.